This 199-nucleotide microRNA precursor is filed under the name Oryza brachyantha (malo sina). RNAcentral describes it as "MIR812 microRNA precursor family". It matches the Rfam family "MIR812 microRNA precursor family". The record is from Rfam by way of RNAcentral. Lineage: Eukaryota; Viridiplantae; Streptophyta; Magnoliopsida; Poales; Poaceae.
GUUAAGUUUAUUUUUUAAUUUUAGAUAUCUAACUCUUCGUCUUAUUUAAAAUUUUUUAUAAUUAAUAUUUUUAUUGUUACCGGACGGUAAAAUAUAAAUAAUAUUUUACGCGUGACUAUUUUUUUAAGUUUUUCUAUAAAUAUUUAAAAUAAGACGAAUGAUUAAACUUUGAACACAGAAAUUGAAAAGUGAAUUUAUU